UAAUAUAUCGGAACGUGCCCUAGAGUGGGGGAUAACUAGUCGAAAGAUUAGCUAAUACCGCAUACGAUCUACGGAUGAAAGUGGGGGAUCGCAAGACCUCAUGCUCCUGGAGCGGCCGAUAUCUGAUUAGCUAGUUGGUGAGGUAAAAGCUCACCAAGGCGACGAUCAUUAGCUGGUCUGAGAGGACGACCAGCCACACUGGGACUGAGACACGGCCCAUACUCCUACGGGAGGCAGCAGUGGGGAAUUUUGGACAAUGGGGGCAACCCUGAUCCAGCAAUGCCGCGUGAGUGAAGAAGGCCUUCGGGUUGUAAAGCUCUUUUGUCAGGGAAGAAACGGUAAGGCUAAUAUCCUUUGCUAAUGACGGUACCUGAAGAAUAAGCACCGGCUAACUACGUGCCAGCAGCCGCGGUAAUACGUAGGGUGCAAGCGUUAAUCGGAAUUACUGGGCGUAAAGCGUGCGCAGGCGGUUGUGUAAGUCAGAUGUGAAAUCCCCGGGCU
Molecule: ribosomal RNA, 501 nt
Filed under: uncultured bacterium
Lineage: Bacteria
Description: bacterial SSU rRNA
Rfam family: Bacterial small subunit ribosomal RNA
Source: RNAcentral